RNAcentral lists this unclassified non-coding RNA (351 nucleotides) under fungal sp. Its description in RNAcentral is "partial internal transcribed spacer region". The stretch from base 1 to 46 matches the Rfam family "Eukaryotic small subunit ribosomal RNA", at positions 1786 to 1831 of the family's 1831-position model. Lineage: Eukaryota; Fungi. The record is from RNAcentral.
AAGUCGUAACAAGGUUUCCGUAGGUGAACCUGCGGAAGGAUCAUUAACACUUUUUCUUUGUUGGGUUUGCUUUGUUUGUUUCAAUAACAAAACACAACCCACAAAUUAUCCUAUCCAAACUGAAGAGCUUGUGAGCAAUGUGCUUUGCUUUUGUUUUCUUCAAUUCAAAAGCAAAGCUGGCUCCCAUUUUUCUCACUUUUUCCUUUUUUCCAAUUUUAACAAACCCAAUCACACAAAUCCCAAUUUGUGAGAUUGCAAACAAUCUUUUGCUAUCUUGACAAUUUCUAAACUUAAAACACAUAUUACAAAAAUGUAACCAAACAACUCUUAACAACGGAUAUCUUGGCUCUC